GGAAGUAAAAGUCGUAACAAGGUUUCCGUAGGUGAACCUGCGGAAGGAUCAUUAUCAAAACAGCGGACUUCGGUCCUUGCUGCACCCUUGUCUUUUGCGUACCGUAUGUUUCCUCGGCGGGCUUGCCUGCCGGUUGGACAUUAUCAAACCUUUUUGUAGUUGCAAUCAGCGUCAGAAAAUAAACAAUAAUUACAACUUUCAACAACGGAUCUCUUGGUUCUGGCAUCGAUGAAGAACGCAGCGAAAUGCGAAAAGUAGUGUGAAUUGCAGAAUUCAGUGAAUCAUCGAAUCUUUGAACGCACAUUGCGCCCCUUGGUAUUCCAUGGGGCAUGCCUGUUCGAGCGUCAUUUUGUACCCUCAAGCACUGCUUGGUGUUGGGCGUUUGUCCUGCAAAGGACUCGCCUGAAAGCGAUUGGCGGCCAACGUACUGGUGGUAGAGCGCAGCACAAUUUGCGUCUCUCCCUUCUACGUCGGCGUCCAUGAAGCCUUUUACAACGUGACCUCGAUCAGGUAGUUGA
RNAcentral lists this ribosomal RNA (518 nucleotides) under Dokmaia monthadangii. RNAcentral's name for it is "eukaryotic LSU rRNA". The stretch from base 194 to 347 matches the Rfam family "5.8S ribosomal RNA". Lineage: Eukaryota; Fungi; Ascomycota; Dothideomycetes; Pleosporales. The record is from RNAcentral.